AUGCCUCCUAGCGGGAAGGAGCGCAAGAGUGCGCCGGCGGUGACCGCCACCGGCCACAUCAGCGACCUCCCCGACCAGACGCUCCACCAUGUGCUCUCCUUCCUCCCGGUGCAGGUGGCCGCGCAGACGUGCGUGCUCGCCCGGCGCUGGCGACACCUUUGGAAGUCCACUACGGGCCUGCGCAUCGUCGGCCUCCAAGUUCAAGACCUCCGGAAGUUCAUGAACCAUCUGCUGGUCCUGCGUGGGCGCACCCACCUAGACACUGUUGAGAUCAAAUUCGAUCGUUAUGAUGAUGAUGAUGAUGAUGAUGAUGAUGUGCGCUAUGUGAACCUAUGGACCCGUUUUGCCGUGAUGUGGAAAGUUCGGGUGCUCACCCUUCAUAUCCUCAUUGGUAACAUUGUCUCUCAGCAUCUGGUAACAUUGGACCUUCAUUCUGUAGCCCUACCAAAGGCCUUUCUUGAUUUUGCUAGAUGCCCACAAUUGGUGAAUCUGAAGAUAGAUGAUUGCUUCAUCAAUGUCAAUAAGAUAUCUUCCUGUUCCCUGAAGCAUUUGAGCAUCACUGGUUGUCGAUCUGAUUUGGAUUUCCGAGUCCGUGUUUCUGCUCCAGGCCUUGUCUCUCUGGAACUAGAAGACUUUAUUGGUAUAACCCCUUUGCUUGAAGACAUGGCAUUACUGGAAGCCGCAUGUGUGAAUCUUAGUGAUAGAUGCAAAGAUGUCUGCUUGAAUUAUGACUCUGGUGUUUUCUGUGGAGCUAAGGAUAAUACAUGUAAGAAUUGUGUUCCUAUCAGUGAUAAUUGCAGCAGUGAUUGUGUGCUUCUGGGUGGUAUCUCACGUGCUAAACACCUCAAGUUGAUAUCUGAAAUUGGAAAGCCCAUUUUCACAAGAGAUCUGAAACACUGCCCUAAAUUUAGCAAGUUAAAGACUUUAUUACUUAACGAGUACUGGUGUGAGGCUCCUGACUUGGAUCCACUAGCUUGCAUUAUGAAAAACUCACCAGUUCUAGAGAAGCUCACUCUUCAACUCUUUUCCAAGGGACCAAAUCAUGAAGUGGAAAUGAAAGGCCAUAGGGACCAAAUCAUGAAAUGGAAAUGA
This 1092-nucleotide ribosomal RNA is filed under the name Triticum aestivum (bread wheat). RNAcentral describes it as "partial small subunit ribosomal RNA". Lineage: Eukaryota; Viridiplantae; Streptophyta; Magnoliopsida; Poales; Poaceae. The record is from RNAcentral.